Long non-coding RNA from Onychostoma macrolepis, 1731 nucleotides. RefSeq lists it as uncharacterized. The record is from RefSeq and is a predicted model, not a curated record. The transcript is spliced from 4 exons. Lineage: Eukaryota; Metazoa; Chordata; Actinopteri; Cypriniformes; Cyprinidae.
UUCACGCGCUAACAGGUAUAGCUCGGGAGAAUGGUUCGAGGCUUUUAGCCUUUUAGUAUACCUUCGGCAAGCAGAGUGAGUUUUACGGUGCCACGGUGUAGUGAUCUGAUUGUAAUGGUGCUAUGAAGUCAAUCAAUGGUUGUGAUGCAUGGAGAUAAUGUUGCAACAGAAUUGAGACAACGAAUACUUCAGUAAUUAAAUUUAUUGCAUCUGAGUAGAAUAAAUCGAAAGCACCUGUCAGAAACUCUCUGCCUCCAUUUGUUCGACGCUGAAGGGCUGCUACAGUAAAAAUCUUCGUGCAAGCAAGUUGGAUGGCGCAAAGCCACAUGUGCCACAAAUAUGCUGUCUUUUGCAGUCUUUAGAAAUAUGCCCCUUUCUCAGACAUCCAAAACAAAGGAAAUUUCUCAUCUGAAACCUUUGAACACAUUAAAAGUGGAGAAGUGAAGGGAUUGCAAGCUAUCUUAGACUCCUUCUGCAAGAAGUCUGCAAAUCGCUUAAAGCUUGGAUAAUCACCAGUCAUGUCCAACUCUUCAACACAAUUUUGUUCCAUUUGCGCACGAUCCACUCUGCCAUCCACUGAGCUAAAACACUAAGAUAGGAUCUGCAGUAAAAUCAGUGCUGAUGGCACCACAGACGCACUGGUGUUCCUGGUGUCCUGUGUUUGUCUGGGCAUGGAUCCAUCGCUGGAGCGGCUGGAGCUCUGGGCAGAUGGUUGGCAUCAGCAUUCAGCCACUGUUUCAGCAUAACUUCCCCCUGCGUGCCCACACACCAGAUCAGGCUAUGAUGCCCCCAGAGAGGACAGAGGAAGAGCGAGAGAGAAGAAAAAAGCGAAGAUCAUAAAAGAUGGUUGCCUUACUCGCCUCAUAUUUGAUCUAUUUUGGUAUUUUGCACUCACUGUGAUUUUAAUAGUGUAGUCCUUAGGAGGCAUUUACAUGACACUAUUUUUAACUAAAAAAUGUUUAUGCAAUUUGGCAGUUCAUUUACGGGACAACAGGGUUUGGUGACCUGAAAACUCAAUCUUUUGAAAACGGGUUUCAAUGUGCAAGUUUUUUUUUAACAAAAAUGUGAAUUUGUGAAACAAGUGACGUCAUGUGCAUGUGUAUUAUAUGGUCAGUCUAUAGGUUUUUAUAUGUGCACAGUCACAUAUCAUGUUUCUUUAAAGUUAUGUCGCCAACUACUGGCUGGAUAUGCAUAAUACAGAAUUGUUUGGUCAUUUUUGCAGCUAUAUGUCAACAAGGUCUGUAUGUAAAAUUUUCCAAAACGCAAAGGAAAAACUUUUGUUUUUAGUGCAAUCUAUGUUUAAAGUGACAAGAUGAAUGAUAGGAUGCACAUAAAUAUGCAACAAAGCGAUAUAUGAUUUCGAGUCAUAUGAUUAUGACUUGGUAGGAUGUCCCAACACCCCCGGUUCUGCUACACACUGAGAAGUAUGUACUUUUUCUUCACAAAACACAAAUACUUUUAGAGUUGUAGAGACUUACAGAAAUCAUAACACUCAAUAUGUUUGAAAUGUGUGUAUGUUUGAUUAUAAACACAACAAGGUUGUAAAAGCAGCUAGAGAGUAGAUGAGUUUACCUUUUUUUCAUUGUGAUAAUGUUUAACAUCAUUUAGCCACUGGUUAGCAAGCACCUAUUUCCAGAUAAGUAAACAAUUUAUUAAAAAUCACAAGUGGUUAUUAUUGAUGUAUUUUGCAUUGUAGGAUAAAACAUGAAAAUAUGUUAACUAUAUGUAUAA